This is a non-coding RNA of Oryzias latipes (Japanese medaka), 690 nucleotides long. NCBI's taxonomy places the organism in Eukaryota, Metazoa, Chordata, Actinopteri, Beloniformes, Adrianichthyidae. The record is from RefSeq and is a predicted model, not a curated record.
UUUAUAUCUAAAAUAAAUAGCUUAAAUGUUUACAACAUAACGUGUUUCCCUAAAGGAAAUUAGAUAAAGACUGCACACAUGCAGGUUGUGUAACAGUCCCACACACUUAGAUACACAAAGAGUAUGCUUGUCUUCCUUGGGAAAAAGCAACACCUGUUUUUCUGAGUGAAGCAUCAUUUUUUUUCUUCUCCCUUUUUUCUCCACAGAAGCCCUGGUUCUUCUAACAGGUCCUGUGUGGCUUGGCUGUGGGUUAGCCUGGACUACUGAAACAUCCUUUCGCUCCCAAAUCACACUAAACCUUUCUCCUGUUUAACAAAUUGCUUGAACCACACAAUACCUCGUCUGGGGAAAGCUUGAUCAAGCUUUGAAGUCUGCAGUGGCUGCCUGUCAGAAGCUGAAGGAGCUGUGAUUGAGAGCCAACGGCCUGAAGAUUGAGAGAUCCAAAAUUUCCAUGAUGGAUGAAGAUGUCAUACCGCUAAGAGGAAACCUCACCCACGAGAAGCUCACCUGGUUGCAGUCCAUCAUCCGCUCGCCUCACCAUGCUUCGUCUCUGACUCCAUCUUGGAAAUCACGGUUACUGCCGUCAAGACCCUCCAGCCUCCUCCUCUGGUCGUCCAAGUAUCCUGGGAUUAUCCAUUGUUCAUAAAUGCCUUCCCAACUGUGAAAAGUAUUAAAACUUUUCCCAUCGAA